Molecule: ribosomal RNA, 331 nt
Filed under: bacterium enrichment culture clone ALO1_GLFRUDD03GKHXW
Lineage: Bacteria
Description: bacterial SSU rRNA
Rfam family: Bacterial small subunit ribosomal RNA
Source: RNAcentral
GAGUUUGAUCUUGGCUCAGAUUGAACGCUGGCGGCAUGCCUUACACAUGCAAGUCGAACGGCAGCACGGGAGCUUGCUCCUGGUGGCGAGUGGCGAACGGGUGAGUAAUGCAUCGGAACGUAUCCUGGAGGUGGGGGAUAACGUAGCGAAAGUUACGCUAAUACCGCAUAUUCUGUGAGCAGGAAAGCGGGGGACCUUCGGGCCUCGCGCUCUUGGAGCGGCCGAUGUCGGAUUAGCUAGUUGGUGAGGUAAAGGCUCACCAAGGCGACGAUCCGUAACUGGUCUGAGAGGAUGAUCUGCCACACUGGAACUGAGACACGGUCCAGACUCC